AUUGAACGCUGGCGGCAUGCCUUACACAUGCAAGUCGAACGGCAGCACGGGAGCAAUCCUGGUGGCGAGUGGCGAACGGGUGAGUAAUAUAUCGGAACGUGCCCAGUCGUGGGGGAUAACGUAGCGAAAGCUACGCUAAUACCGCAUACGAUCUACGGAUGAAAGCGGGGGAUCGCAAGACCUCGCGCGAUUGGAGCGGCCGAUAUCAGAUUAGCUAGUUGGUGGGGUAAAAGCUCACCAAGGCGACGAUCUGUAGCUGGUCUGAGAGGACGACCAGCCACACUGGAACUGAGACACGGUCCAGACUCCUACGGGAGGCAGCAGUGGGGAAUUUUGGACAAUGGGCGCAAGCCUGAUCCAGCAAUGCCGCGUGCAGGAUGAAGGCCUUCGGGUUGUAAACGUGCUUUUGUACGGAACGAAACGGUGAGCUCUAAUAAAGACUUGCUAAUGUACGGUACCGUAAGAAUAAGACACCGGCUAACUACGUGC
Molecule: ribosomal RNA, 489 nt
Filed under: uncultured bacterium
Lineage: Bacteria
Description: bacterial SSU rRNA
Rfam family: Bacterial small subunit ribosomal RNA
Source: RNAcentral